CACGGAUUCUCAAAUAGCCGACCAAGAGAGAAUUUUUAUGUAAUUACUGAAAUUUUCAGGCCCACCAAGAGAGAAUUUUCAUGUAAUUACUGAAAUUUUCACCAGGGAACCAUUAUAUUCAAGCUUGGUUGUCCCAUUUCCACCGUCGUCCUACCUCCUCAAGAACUUUAGCACGGGCUUGGCUUUUCCUAGCUUCAUCCUCUACCCAAGAUCUAAGAAUUCGAAGAGCUUCUGUUUCAGCUUCUGCUAUUGAUUUUUUAUCAAGCAUCCCUUCCUGCUUGGUCUGCAAUUCACUUAGCAACUCCUGUAGCUUACACUGUUCAGCUACAUACAUAGACCUCUCUGAUGUAAGCCUUUCUGACAUCUCAUCAACCUCGUCCUUCAGACCAAGAAGCAGUUGCCUUUGACAGUCCAUGGCUGCCUUCUCCUUCAAAUGCUCAGCCAAAGUUUUCUCCUGCACAGUUUUUUCAUGUUCCAAAUCAUGUAAUACAGCAAUAUAAAGUUUUUGAAUCUCAAGUCCUCGGGCUCUUUCUUCAUUCAUCUUCUCAUCCCAAAACCUCUCUAUAUCUCCUUUGUCAAGCAACUCAGACCUUAUUUCCUUCAUUGCAACUUGCCUUGAUGAAUUUUCAGCUUCCAAUCUUAAUAUUUCAUUAUAAAUAGCUUCUGUCAUCCUGCCACUGGUCAAUGCCACUGCUGCUUGUGCUUUUGUCAAAGGUUUAUUUGGUUGAACCCGCCUACUCUGUCCAAAAACUUUUCUGAUUAUACUCUGGUCUCCAGCCAACAAGUCGAUAAGGAGUUCAGCUGAAGCAUCUGAACUGAUCUCCUUCACAUCCAUGUAAUCUACCUUUAUUCUUGACAUCUGUUCUGUCAUUUCUGGCAUGAACCUAUACUCUAACUGAGCUUUCCAGUUGAUUAAAUCCUGCCGAGAAAUAAACCUGUCAGGGUAAAAGAAGAAGCUUAGAUCUCCA
RNAcentral lists this unclassified non-coding RNA (968 nucleotides) under Hevea brasiliensis (rubber tree). The record is from RNAcentral. Lineage: Eukaryota; Viridiplantae; Streptophyta; Magnoliopsida; Malpighiales; Euphorbiaceae.